AAAAACUCUAGCUCUUUCUGAUGGUUUCUUGCUGAGUCUGGAAUUUUGAGGAUGAGGUUGUCUCCACAGGAUGUCUCUUUGUCUGUGGCUGGUUCCCCUAACCCUCUGUUAAAACCUGGUGUGUGGAGUUGACUGGGAGGAUGGCUUUCCCCUUCAGAAAAAAAAAAAAAAAACUCCAUUCCUAUCACUCACAAGAGCUCUGACUUGUGUUAAACCCAACAGAACAGGAAGAAAUGAUCAAGGGAAUAAAACUUCCUGAGCUGCUGAGAGACAUCUUUGAUAAGAAUGUAUAUUGCAAGAUUAAAAUAAAGUCAAACAACAAAAGUUAAAAGGUAACCAAAAUAAAGAAAAAUAAAGCCCGCAUCAAUAAAUAUCUUAAGUCAAUUUACUUAGAGUAUUUUCUAUUUUUUUAUUGUUAAACAUUUUGUAAAUGAAAGAAGAAAAUGUACUAAUAAAUAAUAAAAAUAAACAACUGACAGGUUUUCCUGUGCACAGGAUACUAAAAGGCAUAGAGAACAUAUUUAAAUUUGUGAGAAAAUAUACUUAUAGAACUUGAGCUCCAUGUUUGGGCACUAUUACAACUCAAAUUCCAAUCUGAAAGGAUUAUUUAGUGAUGUCCUAAUAUUAAAAAAUGA
Long non-coding RNA from Erinaceus europaeus (western European hedgehog), 635 nucleotides. RefSeq lists it as uncharacterized. NCBI's taxonomy places the organism in Eukaryota, Metazoa, Chordata, Mammalia, Eulipotyphla, Erinaceidae. The record is from RefSeq and is a predicted model, not a curated record. The transcript is spliced from 3 exons.